AAUCAUGAUCUGACGAUUUACAAUUGCAAGAACUGAGCCAUAUUUGAUAGGACUUUCAGGUCCCAUGAUCGCGAUCCAAGUGGAUUGUGAUUAUGACAUCUGAGGAUUGUCUGACAAACCAGGCCAAACUUCUAAAUUCUCAUUUUAAGCCUAAAUUUGUCUCAAGAACCAUUUCUUUUGCUUAAAUAAGUCACAUAACAUUGUUUUUACAUGAUGCUACUGAUUGCUAAUGCUU
RNAcentral lists this long non-coding RNA (235 nucleotides) under Capsicum annuum. Its description in RNAcentral is "long non-coding RNA (CANN_LNC020545)". Lineage: Eukaryota; Viridiplantae; Streptophyta; Magnoliopsida; Solanales; Solanaceae. The record is from RNAcentral.